This 2372-nucleotide ribosomal RNA is filed under the name Listeria monocytogenes. RNAcentral describes it as "partial 23S ribosomal RNA". It matches the Rfam family "Bacterial large subunit ribosomal RNA", at positions 408 to 2778 of the family's 2925-position model. Lineage: Bacteria; Bacillati; Bacillota; Bacilli; Caryophanales; Listeriaceae. The record is from RNAcentral.
CUGAGUACGGCGGAACACGUGAAAUUCCGUCGGAAUCCGGGAGGACCAUCUCCCAAGGCUAAAUACUCCCUAGUGACCGAUAGUGAACCAGUACCGUGAGGGAAAGGUGAAAAGCACCCCGGAAGGGGAGUGAAACAGUUCCUGAAACCGUGUGCCUACAAGUAGUUAGAGCCCGUUAAUGGGUGAUAGCGUGCCUUUUGUAGAAUGAACCGGCGAGUUACGAUUUGUUGCAAGGUUAAGCGGAAAAAGCGGAGCCGUAGCGAAAGCGAGUCUGAAUAGGGCGCAUAAGUAACAGGUCGUAGACCCGAAACCAGGUGAUCUACCCAUGUCCAGGAUGAAGGUAAGGUAAUACUUACUGGAGGUCCGAACCCACGCACGUUGAAAAGUGCGGGGAUGAGGUGUGGGUAGCGGAGAAAUUCCAAUCGAACUUGGAGAUAGCUGGUUCUCUCCGAAAUAGCUUUAGGGCUAGCCUCGAGGUAAAGAGUCAUGGAGGUAGAGCACUGUUUGGACUAGGGGCCCUUCUCGGGUUACCGAAUUCAGAUAAACUCCGAAUGCCAUGUACUUAUACUCGGGAGUCAGACUGCGAGUGAUAAGAUCCGUAGUCGAAAGGGAAACAGCCCAGACCACCAGUUAAGGUCCCCAAAUAUAUGUUAAGUGGAAAAGGAUGUGGGGUUGCUUAGACAACCAGGAUGUUGGCUUAGAAGCAGCCACCAUUGAAAGAGUGCGUAAUAGCUCACUGGUCGAGUGACCCCGCGCCGAAAAUGUACCGGGGCUAAACAUAUUACCGAAACUGUGGAUGAACCUCUUUAGAGGUUCGUGGUAGGAGAGCGUUCUAAGGGCGGUGAAGUCAGACCGGAAGGACUGGUGGAGCGCUUAGAAGUGAGAAUGCCGGUAUGAGUAGCGAAAGAAGGGUGAGAAUCCCUUCCACCGAAUAUCUAAGGUUUCCUGAGGAAGGCUCGUCCGCUCAGGGUUAGUCGGGACCUAAGCCGAGGCCGAUAGGCGUAGGCGAUGGACAACAGGUAGAGAUUCCUGUACCAGUGCUAAUUGUUUAACCGAUGGGGUGACACAGAAGGAUAGGGAAUCGCACGAAUGGAAAUGUGCGUCCAAGCAGUGAGUGUGAGAAGUAGGCAAAUCCGCUUCUCGCGAAGCAUGAGCUGUGAUGGGGAAGGAAAUUAAGUACGGAAGUUCCUGAUUUCACGCUGUCAAGAAAAGCCUCUAGGAAGAGUAGUACUGCCCGUACCGCAAACCGACACAGGUAGAUGAGGAGAGAAUCCUAAGGUGAGCGAGAGAACUCUCGUUAAGGAACUCGGCAAAAUGACCCCGUAACUUCGGGAGAAGGGGUGCUCUAUUAGGGUGCAAGCCCGAGAGAGCCGCAGUGAAUAGGCCCAGGCGACUGUUUAGCAAAAACACAGGUCUCUGCAAAACCGUAAGGUGACGUAUAGGGGCUGACGCCUGCCCGGUGCUGGAAGGUUAAGAGGAGUGCUUAGCUUCGGCGAAGGUACGAAUUGAAGCCCCAGUAAACGGCGGCCGUAACUAUAACGGUCCUAAGGUAGCGAAAUUCCUUGUCGGGUAAGUUCCGACCCGCACGAAAGGCGCAACGAUCUGGGCACUGUCUCAACGAGAGACUCGGUGAAAUUAUAGUACCUGUGAAGAUGCAGGUUACCCGCGACAGGACGGAAAGACCCCGUGGAGCUUUACUGCAACCUGAUAUGGAAUGUUUGUACCGCUUGUACAGGAUAGGUAGGAGCCGAAGAGACGUGUGCGCUAGCAUACGAGGAGGCAAUGGUGGGAUACUACCCUGGCUGUAUGACCAUUCUAACCCGCCACGCUUAGCGCGUGGGGAGACAGUGUCAGGUGGGCAGUUUGACUGGGGCGGUCGCCUCCUAAAGAGUAACGGAGGCGCCCAAAGGUUCCCUCAGAAUGGAUGGAAAUCAUUCGCAGAGUGUAAAGGCACAAGGGAGCUUGACUGCGAGACUGACAAGUCGAGCAGGGACGAAAGUCGGGCUUAGUGAUCCGGUGGUUCCGCAUGGAAGGGCCAUCGCUCAACGGAUAAAAGCUACCCCGGGGAUAACAGGCUUAUCUCCCCCAAGAGUCCACAUCGACGGGGAGGUUUGGCACCUCGAUGUCGGCUCGUCGCAUCCUGGGGCUGUAGUCGGUCCCAAGGGUUGGGCUGUUCGCCCAUUAAAGCGGCACGCGAGCUGGGUUCAGAACGUCGUGAGACAGUUCGGUCCCUAUCCGUCGCGGGCGCAGGAAAUUUGAGAGGAGCUGUCCUUAGUACGAGAGGACCGGGAUGGACACACCGCUGGUGUACCAGUUGUUCCGCCAGGAGCAUCGCUGGGUAGCUAUGUGUGGCAGGGAUAAACGCUGAAAGC